UACGCUGGCGGCACGCCUAACACAUGCAAGUCGAACGAAGUAGCAAUACUUAGUGGCAGACGGGUGAGUAACAUGUAGGUAUCUGCCCUUUGGCCUGGAAUAACACGAGGAAACUUGUGCUAAUACCGGAUAAGUCUUUACGGAGAAAGCUUUAUGCACCAUUGGAUGAGCCUGCACUUGAUUAGUUUGUUGGUGGGGUAAUGGCCUACCAAGACUGUGAUCAAUAGCUGAUUUGAGAGGAUGAUCAGCCACAUUGGGACUGAGACACGGCCCAAACUCCUACGGGAGGCAGCAGUGGGGAAUCUUGCACAAUGGAGGAAACUCUGAUGCAGCGAUGCCGCGUGAGUGAAGAAGGCCUUUGGGUUGUAAAGCUCUUUCGUCGGGGAAGAAAAUGACUGUACCCGAAUAAGAAGGUCCGGCUAACUUCGUGCCAGCAGCCGCGGUAAUACGAAGGGACCUAGCGUAGUUCGGAAUUACUGGGCUUAAAGAGUUCGUAGGUGGUUGAAAAAGUUGGUGGUGAAAUCCCAGAGCUUAACUCUGGAACUGCCAUCAAAACUUUUCAGCUAGAGUAUGAUAGAGGAAAGCAGAAUUUCUAGUGUAGAGGUGAAAUUCGUAGAUAUUAGAAAGAAUACCAAUUGCGAAGGCAGCUUUCUGGAUCAUUACUGACACUGAGGAACGAAAGCAUGGGUAGCGAAGAGGAUUAGAUACCCUCGUAGUCCAUGCCGUAAACGAUGUGUGUUAGACGUUGGAAAUUUAUUUUCAGUGUCGCAGCGAAAGCGAUAAACACACCGCCUGGGGAGUACG
This 804-nucleotide ribosomal RNA is filed under the name uncultured Pelagibacteraceae bacterium. Its description in RNAcentral is "bacterial SSU rRNA". It matches the Rfam family "Bacterial small subunit ribosomal RNA", at positions 32 to 884 of the family's 1533-position model. The record is from RNAcentral. Lineage: Bacteria; Pseudomonadati; Pseudomonadota; Alphaproteobacteria; Candidatus Pelagibacterales; Candidatus Pelagibacteraceae.